UACGUAGGCAGCGAGCGUUGUUCGGAAUUACUGGGCGUAAAGAGUGUGUAGGCGGUGCUCUAAGUUCGGUGUGAAAUCUCCUGGCUUAACUGGGAGGGUGCGCCGGAAACUGGGGUGCUCGAGCGUGGGAGAGGAAAGCGGAAUUCCUGGUGUAGCGGUGAAAUGCGUAGAUAUCAGGAGGAACACCUGUGGCGAAGGCGGCUUCCUGGUCUGCGACUGACGCUGUGGCGCGAAAGCUAGGGGAGCAAACGGG
RNAcentral lists this ribosomal RNA (253 nucleotides) under uncultured bacterium. RNAcentral's name for it is "partial 16S ribosomal RNA". It matches the Rfam family "Bacterial small subunit ribosomal RNA", at positions 524 to 776 of the family's 1533-position model. The record is from RNAcentral.